UAGGAGCCGAUGAAGGACGGGACUAACACCGAUAUGCUUCSGGGGAGCUGUAAGUGAGCUUUGAUCCGGAGAUUUCCGAAUGGGGGGAACCCAUUGUUCGUAAUGGAACAGUAUCCAUACUUGAAUACAUAGAGUAUGGAAGGCAGACCCAGGGAACUGAAACAUCUAAGUACCUGGAGGAAGAGAAAGCAAAUGCGAUUCCCUGAGUAGCGGCGAGCGAAACGGGAUGUAGCCCAAACCAAGAGGCUUGCCUCUUGGGGUUGUAGGACACUCUAUAYGGAGUUACAAAGGAACGGAGUAGACGAAGAAGUCUGGAAAGGCUCGUCAAAGAA
RNAcentral lists this non-coding RNA (332 nucleotides) under Microbacterium sp. SUBG005. RNAcentral's name for it is "bacterial LSU rRNA". It matches the Rfam family "Bacterial large subunit ribosomal RNA", at positions 40 to 362 of the family's 2925-position model. The record is from RNAcentral. Lineage: Bacteria; Bacillati; Actinomycetota; Actinomycetes; Micrococcales; Microbacteriaceae.